RNAcentral lists this long non-coding RNA (553 nucleotides) under Lathyrus oleraceus (garden pea). RNAcentral's name for it is "Pisum sativum (pea) long non-coding RNA (PSAT_LNC008565)". Lineage: Eukaryota; Viridiplantae; Streptophyta; Magnoliopsida; Fabales; Fabaceae. The record is from RNAcentral.
ACUUUCUUGAACUAAAUGACACUCUCAAAGCAGGACAAAGAGUGUUUGACAUCUAUCUAAACAGUGAGAUUAAAAAGGAGGGUUUUGAUGUAUUGGAAGGAGGAUCCAAGUACAGUUACACUGUUUUGAACAUUUCAGCAAAUGGAUCACUCAAUAUAACCUUAGCCAAGGCAUCUGGAUCACUCAAUAUAACCUUAGCCAAGGCAUCUGGAUCUAAGUUUGGACCCCUUUUGAAUGCCUAUGAGAUCCUGCAGGCGCGACCAUGGAUCGAUGAGACCGACCAAACAGAUCUGGAAGUUAUUCAGAAGAUGAGAAAAGAAUUGUUGCUGCAAAACCAAGACAAUGAAGCAUUAGAGAGUUGGAGUGGAGAUCCUUGUAUGCUUUUUCCAUGAAAAGGAGUAGCAUGUGAUGGUUCAAAUGGUUCGUCUGUCAUCACUAAGCUAGAUCUUUCCUCCAAUAAUCUCAAAGGAACAAUUCCUUCCAGUGUCACUGAGAUGACCAAAUUACAAAUACUGAACCUGAGCCACAACCAUUUCGAUGGUUAUAUCCCCUC